Long non-coding RNA from Cotesia glomerata, 482 nucleotides. RefSeq lists it as uncharacterized. The transcript is spliced from 2 exons. Lineage: Eukaryota; Metazoa; Arthropoda; Insecta; Hymenoptera; Braconidae. The record is from RefSeq and is a predicted model, not a curated record.
GAGUAAAUAUUGUAGUAAAUGGGAGUUAACAGUGGAAUUAACAGUGUGCAAUUUUUUUCCCACUUUUUACAUUUCUUACAUAUCAAAUACUAUAGACGUUAUAUUAACAUUGUUUAGUAUGUUUAGUAUUAUAUGUGCAUGGGCCCCUUCUCUUUUCACAGAAGGUUGUCAUUGAGCCUUGGAACUUUCUUAUAUAUAAAGGUAGUAAGACCAAUAAUUCACUUUAUUUCAUAACUGCCCCUCUGGAGCCGAGAGCCGAGAGCCGAGAGCCGAGAGCCGGGAGCCCCAGUGUGCCUUUUUAAUUAAGACCGGAAUUGUUUUUUUUUUUUUUUUUUUAUAGUUCGGUAGUUAAUUAGUUAAUUAAACAGGGGAAAAAUGAGUUAAGUUAACCUUGAUAAUUACGAAAAAAAAUCCAGACAAUUGAAAAACAAAGUUAGAUAAUUUUAAAUUUUUUUAUUUCUUUUAUUAUUGUCUAAUCAAAA